UACGUAGGUGGCAAGCGUUGUCCGGCGUUAUUGGGCGUAAAGCGCGCGCAGGCGGUGCGGUAAGUCUCUGGUGAAAGCGCUCGGCUUAACUGGGCGAGGGCCGGGGAGACUGCCACGCUGGAGGGGAGCAGAGGCGAGUGGAAUUCCGGGUGUAGUGGUGAAAUGCGUAGAGAUCCGGAGGAACACCAGUGGCGAAGGCGGCUCGCUGGGCUCUACCUGACGCUGAGGCGCGAAAGCGUGGGGAGCGAACCGG
This 253-nucleotide ribosomal RNA is filed under the name uncultured bacterium. Its description in RNAcentral is "partial 16S ribosomal RNA". It matches the Rfam family "Bacterial small subunit ribosomal RNA", at positions 524 to 776 of the family's 1533-position model. The record is from RNAcentral.